RNAcentral lists this ribosomal RNA (332 nucleotides) under uncultured bacterium. RNAcentral describes it as "bacterial SSU rRNA". It matches the Rfam family "Bacterial small subunit ribosomal RNA", at positions 568 to 898 of the family's 1533-position model. The record is from RNAcentral.
CGUGUAGGCGGUCGGGUAAGUCAGAUGUGAAAGCCUUUCGCUUAACGGAAGAAGUGCAUUUGAAACUGCUCGGCUGGAGUACGGGAGAGGAGAGUGGAGUUCCCGGUGUAGAGGUGAAAUUCGUAGAUAUCGGGAGGAACACCAGUGGCGAAGGCGGCUCUCUGGUCCGAUACUAACGCUGAGACGCGAAAGCGUGGGGAGCAAACAGGAUUAGAUACCCUGGUAGUCCACGCCGUAAACGAUGGGCACUAGGUGUAGGAGGUAUUGACCCCUUCUGUGCCGAAGUUAACGCAUUAAGUGCCCCGCCUGGGGAGUACGGCCGCAAGGCUAAA